AAAAACAUUAUAAACAUCCGUCGUAUAAUGUUGGGAAUAUGGCCCAGGAGUAUCUACCAGAGCACCGUAAAUGGCUCUGACUACGAGGAGGAGGUAAGUUGCC
RNAcentral lists this non-coding RNA (103 nucleotides) under Gracilibacillus boraciitolerans. Its description in RNAcentral is "Guanine sequence". It matches the Rfam family "Purine riboswitch aptamer". Rfam says of the family: Riboswitches are metabolite binding domains within certain messenger RNAs that serve as precision sensors for their corresponding targets. Lineage: Bacteria; Bacillati; Bacillota; Bacilli; Caryophanales; Bacillaceae. The record is from RNAcentral. RNAcentral also lists the same sequence under 1 other name.